ACGAACGCUGGCGGCGUGCUUAACACAUGCAAGUCGAACGGAAAGGCCCUGCUUUUGUGGGGUGCUCGAGUGGCGAACGGGUGAUUAACACGUGAGUAACCUGCCCUUGACUUUGGGAUAACUUCAUGAAACUGGGGCUAAUACCGGAUAUGAGCUCCUGCUGCAUGGUGGGGGUUGGAAAGUUUCGGCGGUUGGGGAUGGACUCGCGGCUUAUCAGCUUGUUGGUGGGGUAGUGGCUUACCAAGGCUUUGACGGGUAGCCGGCCUGAGAGGGUGACCGGCCACAUUGGGACUGAGAUACGGCCCAGACUCCUACGGGAGGCAGCAGUGGGGAAUAUUGCACAAUGGGCGGAAGCCUGAUGCAGCAACGCCGCGUGCGGGAUGACGGCCUUCGGGUUGUAAACCGCUUUCGCCUGUGACGAAGCGUGAGUGACGGUAAUGGGUAAAGAAGCACCGGCUAACUACGUG
Molecule: ribosomal RNA, 467 nt
Filed under: uncultured bacterium
Lineage: Bacteria
Description: partial 16S ribosomal RNA
Rfam family: Bacterial small subunit ribosomal RNA
Source: RNAcentral